UGCAGUCGACGGAGUUUUUUGGCAGAAGCCUUCGGGCAGACGCUGAUAUAACUUAGUGGCGAACGGGUGAGUAACACGUGAGUAACCUGCCCUUCAGAGGGGGACAACAGUUGGAAACGACUGCUAAUACCGCAUAAGACCACGGUGUGGCAUCACACAGAGGUCAAAGGAGAAAUCCGCUGAAGGAUGGGCUCGCGUCCAAUUAGCUAGAUGGUGAGGUAACGGCCCACCAUGGCGACGAUUGGUAGCCGGACUGAGAGGUUGAUCGGCCACAUUGGGACUGAGACACGGCCCAGACUCCUACGGGAGGCAGCAGUGGGGAAUAUUGCACAAUGGAGGAAACUCUGAUGCAGCGACGCCGCGUGAGGGAAGAAGGUCUUCGGAUUGUAAACCUCUGUUGUCAGGGACGAUAAUGACGGUACCUGACGAGGAAGCCACGGCUAACUACGUGCCAGCAGCCGCGGUAAAACGUAGGUGGCAAGCGUUGUCCGGAAUUACUGGGUGUAAAGGGAGCGCAGGCGGGAGAGCAAGUUGGAAGUGAAAUCUGUGGGCUCAACUCACAAAUUGCUUUCAAAACUGUUUUUCUUGAGUGGUGUAGAGGUAGGCGGAAUUCCCGGUGUAGCGGUGGAAU
This 631-nucleotide ribosomal RNA is filed under the name uncultured bacterium. RNAcentral's name for it is "bacterial SSU rRNA". It matches the Rfam family "Bacterial small subunit ribosomal RNA", at positions 56 to 687 of the family's 1533-position model. The record is from RNAcentral.